AUUGAACGCUGGCGGCAGGCCUAACACAUGCAAGUCGAACGAGUGGCGGACGGGUGAGUAAUGUCUGGGAAACUGCCUGAUGGAUGGGGAUAACUACCGGAAACGGUUGCUACUACCGCCUAGCUUCAGCUGUGCCCAGAUGGGAUUAGCUAGUGGUUGGGGUAAUGGCUCACCUAGGCGACGAUCCCUAGCUGGUCUGAGAGGAUGACCAGCCACACUGGAACGGAGACACGGUCCAGACUCCUACGGGAGGCAGCAGUGGGGAAUAUUGGACAAUGGGCGCAAGCCUGAUGCAGCCAUGCCGCGUGUGUGAAGAAGGCCUUCGGGUUGUAAAGCACUUUCAGCGGGGAGGCGUUACUCGCAGAAGAAGCACCGGCUAACUCCGUGCCAGCAGCCGCGGUAAUUC
RNAcentral lists this ribosomal RNA (406 nucleotides) under uncultured bacterium. RNAcentral's name for it is "partial 16S ribosomal RNA". It matches the Rfam family "Bacterial small subunit ribosomal RNA", at positions 30 to 526 of the family's 1533-position model. The record is from RNAcentral.